Gadus chalcogrammus (walleye pollock) is the source of this 3773-nucleotide RNA transcript. It is a transcript of the gene named histone-lysine N-methyltransferase PRDM7-like, with no coding region annotated. The record is from RefSeq and is a predicted model, not a curated record. The transcript is spliced from 9 exons. NCBI's taxonomy places the organism in Eukaryota, Metazoa, Chordata, Actinopteri, Gadiformes, Gadidae.
CACACACACACACAAACAGGUUUAACAAAUUAUUUUAUUUGGAUCUACAAGCAAAACAAAGUUUUCACAAACAUUAAUUAGAAGGUUUCAAUCUGAAAACUAACCAGACACUGAAUGUGCAAAAUGCUUAAGCACGCAGAGGAGUAGAGAUGAAAUUAUGAUGGUUUAGCUGAGGUUAAAGCAUUGCAUUGCAUACAAUAUGGCAUUCAGGGAUAGACAACACAACGUCUUUUCCAGAUGUGGAGGCUGCCUAUGGUCGCUGAGACUGAGCAGAAUUUUAGAACUCUUUUCGCAUCAGCCUUUUGCAGUCCACCCAUCUGCAAACCUCGGAGCACAAGUUUGUGUACAUGCCCCAGACUUCCGAACACAACUAUGAUUAAUUGGCAGUUAUAUCCUAGAGCUGUGAUACAUUCUACCAAUGGCUGGUAUUUCAUGAAUUUGGAUGUGAAGCAAGUGUCCAUAUACAGAUCAAACGCACAGCCUAUUUCAAAGAUGGUAACUGAUUUUCUGGCUUGGUUAAUGAAAACAAUGUCCGGGGUGUUUGGGAUGUUAUACAGUAUGUUGUUAUCAGUACAAUUAUGAUCAAACCAGUUCAAUUUCACAGUGCUGUGCUUAUACAUAAUAAUAAUAAUAAUAAUACAUUUUAUUUCAAGCGCCUUUCAUGACACCCAAGGUCGCUUCACAAACAAUCAUCUCAUUACAAUUACAAUAAUCUCAUAGAAAUAAAUAGAAAUAAGAAAAAUAAAAGUCAGUCAGUCAGUCCAUAAGCUAUCUUGAAGAAAUUAGUUUUAAGUCUGCUUUUAAAGUCAGUAAUUGAGUCACAGUGUCUGAUGUAGUCUGGCAGUGAAUUCCACAACUUGGGGGCGAUGUAGCUGAAAGCCCUCUCUCCCAGGGUGCUGAGGUUCGCCUUAGGGACAUGCAGUAGGCCUGCUGUGGAGGAUCUCAGUGAGCGGGCAGGAGUGUAGGAUUCCAGGAGGUCAGAGAGGUAGGUGGGGGUAUUGUUGUGGGGUAUUGACAGAACAACAUGUGUGUUGUUCUGUCCUGUACUUGUCUGAGUUCUUGUGAGACCAAGUCCACCAGACGGUCAUGUCUGGCGAUGUACAGUCCUUUGUAAAAGCUACAGCCGUUUAGGAUAUGAGCCAUUGUCUCUUUAUUGUCUGGGGUGGGAUGUAGGAUGCAGUGUGGGUUGUGUUGCGAUGGAUAGCAGAUUGCCAGGUUGUAUUUUUUUGGCAAUACCUGUAAGCGGGCCUUAAUGCAAAAGAUAAGGACGUCCUCUCCAAUGGUCGUGUUUGAGAGGAUUGAGUGGGACACAGAGUGGUUUGCAAAGGGUAGCAGUGCCAGUUUGCCCUGCAGGCUUAAGCUAGUCCAAUGCUGCGCACUCUCUUCUACUUUCAUUCUUAGCAUUGUGGCUCUCGCUGUUUUGAUUGACAGCUCGUGUUGCCCAUCUUCCUGUUCAAAGGUCGCGCAUACAUUGAUGAGCGGGUCCAUGACAACAGAGUUCAGUGCAACAGGUGUACCAUCGGGCCCCGCCCACUUCAGAUUUAUUCCUGAGCGGUGGCACAGGUCAUUGAGAUCCAUCCAGUCUGACCGCACACCGAAGCCUGCAGUUCUGAUGUCCAGUUUUCCAUUAUCUUUUAUUUUGAAUCCGAGGAAUUGCCGCUCAUUCUCCUUCGCAGGUGGGAUUUUGCGUCGCUGCAUAUGCAGGAGGAGUGAUUCACGGGCCAUUUCCCGGACUGUCACGUCGUCGCAGUUGAGCAUCUUGAGGAGGUGGUUGGUUCUGGUGGCGGUGUAGACCCACUCAAUGUUUGGGACUCCGGGACCUCCAUCUCCGCGGGCUUGGAAGAUGAUGUCACGGGUCGAGUGGGUGUUUAAGCCAAGCCAUUUCCUCACCAGGCUCACCGUCUUGUUUGUCAUCUCUGUGAGGAUGUUCUGAGGUCACCUACCAAAUCUAUGGGCCCGUUGGCUGUGUCACCGUCAGCAGUUACCAGGGACCGUCCUGCCGUCGCCUCUACCCACCACGGGACCUCCACCCUCUCCGGCUACCCACCACGGGACCACCACCGUCACCGUCAGCAGACGAUUGAUCUGGACUCAAGCUGUAGGCCUACCAGUCAGAUGAGUCACUCAGUGGAGGAGGCCUGUCCUUUGUGGCUCCAGCCUUCAUGAGGAGAGAGAAGCCCGGCCAGGUGAGAGUCUGCUCACCUGAAGAGACAGACUCUGAGGAGGAGCAGCUCUGGACCUCUGGAUUGACCGGUGCUCGAGUGUGGAAGCCACCACCAGUCAGACAGGGGUCUCUACAACAGCCCAGUACGUCAGAUGCAGUUUCUGUACAGAGUCUCUCAGGGCGGGGCUGGAGUGACCAGGAGGUCUCUGGAGGGCCCACUCCUUCUCAUCCAGAGAUCGACCCCCCCGGAGGAGGAGUAGAGAGGGGCUCUGCAGUCCAGGAGGAGGUCUCCUUGGGUUAGCUCUGAUCCCACCACUGCUUCCCUGCCAAAACACCUUUUUGUGCACGUAUAGUGUGUGUGUGUGUGUGUGUGUGUGUGUGUGUGUGUGUGUGUGUGUGUGUGUGUGUGUGUGUGUGUGUGUGUGUGUGUGUGUGUGUGUGUGUGUGUGUGUGUGUGUGUGUGUGUGUGUGUGUGUGUGUGAGAAUCAGUUCUCCAUGAACAUAUGAAGGGCUCAAGUGUUUAUUCAAGAAAGACGAACCUGAGAAAUGUUCUCAGAGUUAACUACCAAGAACCGGAAGUACCUAAGGAUGACGACUACUUCUGUAAGAGGGCUCACUCACUCUGUCUCUGUCUCUGUCUCUGUCUCUGUCUGUCUCUGUCUCUGUCUCUGUCUCUGUCUCUGUCUCUGUCUCUGUCUCUGUCUCUGUCUCUCUCUCUGUCUCUGUCUCUCUCUCCCCACCUCUUUUUCCCCACCUCUUUUUCAUUCACAAACCAAUUUUUAAUCUUCCUGUUUCUGUCUAUUUAAUAUAGAUUUGUAGCUGAAGCUCUCUUGGACGUUAUAAAUAAAUGAACUCUCCAGUCUGUGAUGAGUGUAGGACUUUCUUCCUCGAAGAGUGCGCGGUCCACGGUCCUAUCGUCUUCAUGGCUGAUCGCCCCGUUGCUGUCAGAGAGAAAGACCGAGCCAAGAAGACGCUGCCCGCUGGGUUUGAGAUCAGAGAUUCUAGGAUCCCUGGGGCCGGUCUAGGGGUGUUUUACUGUGGAGACGGUGGCCUUCCCAUUGGAACACACUUUGGACCCUACGAAGGACACAGGACAGAUGAAGAGGGAGCCCUAGAGUGGAUACUCCUGGGAGAUCUACAAGAGCAGACACAAUGAUUACAUUGAUGCAAAGAGAGACACUUUCUAACUGGAUGAGGUACGUCAAUUGUGCUCGUAAUGAAGAGGAACAGAACCUAAUAGCGUUUCAGCACAAAGGAGGAAUUCCUUAUCGCACCUGUGGCCUCGUGACUUCAGGAGCAGAGCUCUUGGUCUGGUAUGGGGACGAAUACGCCAGACAUCUGGGAAUCGGAUUUGAUCGACUGUGGAACAACAAGAGCUCUACUAAAGGUCUGCCUUCAAGUCUGUCUUUCUGUCAGGGUUUGGUUUCUAUGCGGCACUUCAUGACCACAUCUCUCAUUUUAAUUCAAAAGAGCUUGGACAAUAAACAUCUACAUUAACAAGGCAGUUAAGAAAUUAUACAGGAAAUAGUAAAGUUUUACCAUACAUUUAAAUAUAAUAAACAAAAGAUGACAACAUAAUAGAAAAAUAUUCUUACUUGGAAAAAUGUCU